Molecule: transfer RNA, 65 nt
Filed under: Dipodomys ordii (Ord's kangaroo rat)
Lineage: Eukaryota; Metazoa; Chordata; Mammalia; Rodentia; Heteromyidae
Rfam family: tRNA
About the family: Transfer RNA (tRNA) molecules are approximately 80 nucleotides in length. Their secondary structure includes four short double-helical elements and three loops (D, anti-codon, and T loops).
Source: Rfam by way of RNAcentral
GGUAGUUCAGUGGUAGAGUGCUUGCCUUGCAUGCAUGAGACCCUGGGUUCGAUUCCUCAGUACCA